Molecule: long non-coding RNA, 6288 nt
Organism: Tympanuchus pallidicinctus (lesser prairie-chicken)
Lineage: Eukaryota; Metazoa; Chordata; Aves; Galliformes; Phasianidae
Exons: 5
Source: RefSeq, a predicted model, not a curated record
CGGAGCGGGGGCUGCCUUCAAGUCGGCCGGCGAGCGGCUGCCGGCGGAGCGAUGCUGCUGCCGGAGGAACGGCCGGGGCGCCGCGCGGGAGCGACGGCGGCGGCCGUGGAGAUUUAGGCCGGGCGGUCGGCCCGCAGCGCGGGGAGGUGGGAGGUUAGAAGAUGAUAGAUCAGAGAUUCUGGAUGAGAGCAUUCCACUCAUUAAAGACAAGCUCCACAGGCAUUAGAACAGUUGUACACCACAUUUCCUUCCUAGAAGAGGAAGUGCCUGAAGUGGAGAAGAGCCACGGUGCCUUUUUAAUACAAUUUGCCAGUUGUUUUGAUGUGCAACUAUUCCAUCUUUAAAAACGCCUCCUCCAUGAGUGGCACUUUAAGGUCUGCCAAUACUCUACCAAACUGAAGACAUUCCCUAUGAAUAAUGCAGGGCCAGAGAAUAACUACAACAACAAAAAAUUGGCUUCUUGGAUGGAAGAAGUCUACAACUCAGAAUGAGCAGAAGCUUAAAACCACGGAACAGUUCAGUUAGAAAAACAAAAAUCUCUCACCAUGAGAUGAAGGGCAGUCUCUAAGAUACAAGGAACUUACUACAGAAUUUAUUCAAGUAAAAAGAUGGGGGUUGUGACUGCAGUAACCGAGCGCUCCGAUCAAACACAGCCCUGCUGCACUCCCUGUCCUGCACAGUUCUGUGUACACACCAGGCUUUUUGUGCUCAUUCUCCUACCAACUUCGACGAGGUGAUGCUGUAACAGUCACUAAUGACUUACUAUUCCAUGACUGUCACCACCACCGCUCAGUGCCAGAAACAGACAAAAGUGACAGGGCCAACACAAACCCACCAGCUUCACCAUCAACAAGGACUGAGUAUCACUAAGCUCUCAUCCCUUCCCAUUCAUCUAAUUCAGAAACAGCUCUUGACUAAGAGUAGCAAGCUGAUCAGGAUGUUUAUGACUGAUUUCUAAUUUGUAGCCAUGAUACGAAGAAGAAACAAUACUGAAUUUAUUAAGGGUCUACAGGAGAAUUUUCAGAAAUACCAAACCAACUCUAAUGCUGUGGUGUCUGCAGCACCCACGGUCACAAGGAAACACAGCUGCAUGGAGCACUGUGUACACAAAAGCUAGGAAACCAAAGAAAAGUGUUGACUUAGUCUAUAAAUCUCAGGUCUCCAAAUUUCUCAGUUAAAUUACCUGCAGCAGAGACACUGCUCAGAGACAUCACACAAAGUCACUAAUGACAGUAAUUUAAAGAAAUCAUAUAGGCCAGGAAAAAAUUACUUCAACUUAGAUAUUGAUUUCCUCCAAGAUUUGUUGUGAGUAUAAGCACAGUGUAUUUACCUGACCUAAAUUCUAACUGCAAGUUCAUAAUGUUUGUGACAGUAAAGGUGUUUCAGCUAGCAUUCCUCUCUACUCUCAAUUAAAAGGAUUGGAAUUAUAAAAAAACCUAUGAUUUAGUUAACGUGAAAAGUUGCUUUCUGUAUGUUAUCUGGAACCUUUCAUUUGAGAUAAACCCAAACCACUCUACAAAGAAUUAGCAUUCUGGUGAAGUACUUCACACGUAAUCAGCAUUCUGGUGAAAUACUUCACAUGUAGAGUCGUUAUCAGCCUGGUAACUCAUUUGCCACAUUGGAGAUAAGAACCCAAACCCAGCUAUGAAGAGCACUUCCACAGGUAUCCUCUGCCUUCUCAGAGAUGGCGAGGAUUAAACAGAACACAAUGGAAAAUUACACUCUCUUACUGCCUCUAAAGACACCGAAUGAAAGCCAUGAACUGCUGUUUUUGUUACCUGUGUUCAUUCCUACCUGUACACCUUUAUAAUCAAGCAUCUUAUCUGCAAUUACAAAAAAUACCCAGGCCUAAUACAUUAUCCUUCAUGAUGCAAGAGUGAAUGUCAUCAUCUGGGUAAUCAGAUUGAUCCAUGUACUCACUCCCAGCCAAGGACUUUUUUUCAUCCUCACAAAGGACUAGGAAACAAGGUUUGCAUCUGAAUCUCUAACUUAUGUUAGUUUUGAAAGCUGACAAAGGCAAACCAGUUACUUCGUUAUAAACAGCAUCUGAGCUCAUGGCUCCAUUAUCAGAUGUUCUGAGAAUAUUCAUAUUAUCCCCUUGCGCCUUCUUCUCUCCCAAGAUCCAUUUCUAAAGGCACACACUGAAGAGAAUUAGGAAAAACCCUUAAGUGUUAUAAAGUGUUGUAGCUCUGUACUGUGUAUUAGGCUUUGGUAAGCAAUAACAGAACGUGCCAAGCUCUGCCCUACUUAUCUGCCCAUCCUUGUGCCUGUGCUGUGGUUAUUCAGUUUUACUGCCUAGGCACCUCUGGACAAAAGCUAUUUCCUGGUAAAAUAAAAAUAAUACCAUUUACGACAAAGUACCAACGCAUAAGUGGUGAAAAAGCUUUUGAGAAUAACAAUGGAUAUUUACACUGCAAGCAUCUGUAUUGAGAAAUGGUUGUAUUAAACAACCACACUUUAAGACCAAAAAGAGCAACUUCCACACACUUCAGAGCAAUAUUACGUUAGGUACUUCCACGAGCAGAACUAAAACUUCCCAAAGAAAAAUUUUAAGAUUGCAGUUUUGCUUCUAUUGUAAAUACAUCUAAUAUAACUUAGAAAUUUUACAUCAUUUUACAUCAAAAGAUGUAAGGGGUAACUGAAAAUGCUUAACAACAGUGCUGAAUCAGCAAUGCCAGUUUCAUACAGCGACACUAUAUUUAUUAUUACAGUGACACAAUUUAUUACUGUGACACUAUAACAUGAUGGAAAACACAGCACUGACAGUGGGAUAGCAAAGUCCCAGGCUGCAGCAAGUGAGGAUAAGCUGAACUGCAGCAGACGUGGAUGCAGAAACAAAGGAAGAAGUCUGCUUACCCUUGGAAGGCCUCAGCUGGGCAGGGAUCUCCAGCAAGAUACUCUUGCCUCCACUGCCAACCCUUAAAUGAGGGCUGGAGGAGGUGGAUCCUGGCCCUUCCAGUCACUCAGGUACAUUGCAUGCACCUGAGCUCCCCUGCCUUCCCACCAGGUGCUCCAUCACUCCUUCAGGCCAUGACUUAGCACUUCUAAGUGCACAAAUAGUAACAACAGCACUGCACUUAGCACAAAUAGUAUCAAAGAAAAUAUGAAAAGAGUAAUGGGGAAAGGGCUGUGGAGCAUUUAAACUCCUAACGAGCCCGCUGGUCAACACAAAUUGUAAGGCUGCAUCCUACAUGCAAUUUUCAAGUGGUAUUUUCUCUGCUUUUGAUCCGUGGUUGAAGUAGUAAGUAGAACUUACUUUUUUGUUCAGGUGGAAAAAGCAACCCAAACCUGUAGCUCCUUUUCCUAGGCCUGUCACUACAAAACAGUGCUCAGUGCUAAGCUCACUGUCACUUUUUUCAUGACUUGACUUGUAAGAGAUCUGAAUUUUAUGAUAGUAGGACUGCAUCAAUAGGAAACCAAAUCCAAUAUCGCAUUAAGAAGGUAUGGCUACCGUGUCACUGCCACCACAUCUCACACUGCAUAGGUUGCAUGUACAUUCUUCAUCACAACAUUUUCAAAGAAAAUAGUCUUUAAUAUUCAAUUCCACUUCCUCCCAGAACACAACUGGGGAUUAUGGCUUUGAACUCUUAAGUUCCAAUCAAGUUAAUACAGGUUUACUUUCCUUAGAAUAUUUUUAACAUUCAAGAACGUUCAUUUAAUAAAAGCUCCUGCUGCUGUAGUUUACUGUGCACGUGUGAGAAACUAAGAAUGUGGCCAAGAAAUUAAUCAUGGCUCCAUUAGUUUACUUCUCUAAAUGCAACUAAAUAUGUAUUGCUGUCACUGCAGGACAUUAUUUCUCCAUGCUUUCAGUAGCUUCUUCCUACAUUCCUGCACACUCAAAAACUACAUGAAACAGCACUGUCAGCUGUUGUGCAGGAUGUGAAUGAACACUUCACAAUGAAUUUCAAAUCCACAGAGAAAAUAACCUUGUAGUUUCAUUCCAGGAUAACCCUUUAUCUUAGUAUCGACUGUAGAAUCAGUGCAUGAAAGCAUUCAAUGUUAAAGCUUCUGGCAAGCAGUGACAUUUUCUCCAUAACCCAAAUCCCCACUUGAGGAAUCAUUCUGCUUGUGAAGAGACCAUAAUUCUCCUAGAGACAAAGUGAGAGUACCGUUUGUCUCCAGGCAGUGACCACUGGUAUAUGUGAAAGUCAGAUACAGUUCUCAAAAUAUUAUUAGCAAGUAACUUACUUGAAUGGAAAGUGCCAAUAUCAAUGCCUUCAACCAAAACCAUUGAGUACUUUCUCUUGAUUACUGUGUCUAACAAACCUGGACAUGUCAAACAUAUAAUGAUGUAUAUUUGUAUAUAAGCCCAAGUAACAAAAAAAGCAAAUUUAAGACUGCUUAGAAACAAGAUUUCAGUUGUAUCUACUCUAUCAUCCUGCCUUCUGCCUGCCUCAUAGCCAACUCCUAAGAAAUGGUCAACAUCUUCCUAUCACAACACGUCAUAAUACAGGAUACAAUCGGAUCUUCACAUCUGAAAACUGAAGAUCAGACUUCACAGCAAAAGGAUUUUUCUCUCUAUUUAAAUGUUCUGUGCUUGUUACCCAUAGCUGGUGAAAGAAAACAAAAGAAGGGGAAAGAAAAACCACCCUGAAAUGCUCAUAGGAGUGAUGUGAGCAACCUUCAGGAGAAACAAAAGCAAACAGGGAGAACAGACCCAUUACUAGUGGAAAUUGCUGCUUAGCUUAGGAACUGAACUGCACAUUACCAAGAUAGAGGAGAUCAGGACUAUGCUCACUGGUACAGCACAACAGAAGGAAACAUGAGAAGCCUUACAUGAAAAUUAUCUGCAGCACAGCCACAGAAGGUUCAACCACUCCCGAAGUCAAGGUUUUUGUUUUGUUUCUUUUUGGAGUUUAGUACUUAGACUUGAUGCAGCUUUCAACAGCAAAUUGUAUCUUCACCAAUUUGCUACUUUUACUAAUACUUCAAAUUCCAGAUGGAAACAAAUGUGGCCAUCAACUUAAAAACAUCCAGGAUGGGAAACCUGACACAUCCACCACCUGUUACUGCCAAAUUUUUAAACCACUUUUUGUGUUUAAUAAACUCUUAUCAAUGUAUAACCUUCAAGCACUUCAAGUUAUAGCCCUGCAGCUCAAUGCUUCAACAUACCAUUACUAAAGGACUGAAGCCACCUACAAAAACUAAGUCAAAACAGAAGAAAAUAAUAAAAUAACACUGUGCUGGUAUGUGGAAAAUUAAUGUAAAACACAAUGCUGCGUGCCUGACUGAAGGUUCUACGUUGCAACAAGUAAUGUUUGUCUUGUUUUUUUUCAAUGCAAACAGUCAUCCCUUUAUGAGGGAAGUACUGCUUUUACACACAAUGCAGCACAGUCACAACUGUGUCCUUACUGGAAGGUGUGCACCCAGGAGAGGGUAAGGAACACAGGUGGGAGAAAACAAGAACACAGCAGUUAAAUUAUCAGGUGAUUAAAAAAAAAAAAACACCACCACCAAGGAAAAGCCUCUGCCUGUCUGCAGAUCCAAAAAGCUGCUUCUAUUUUUGUGAUCCUAGGAGUGCCAUGCUCCAGCAUAUCUUUCUGUAUCUCUGGCCUCGCAGCUCACUGCCCUUAGUGCUACCAGGUAACAACAGAUGUUAAGGAUGCUUCAGUUCUGCCAACUUCACCCAGAACAACAUGGCCAACCUCGUGGCACGAGGCCGUGGAGCACUCACCAGGCAGCAGUGCUGUUCUGAUUCAGGAGAAGAUGCAUCAGCGAGAUGAAGACAGCUUUUUUCUCUCAACUACAGUCUUCAAUAAAUAUUCCAAAUCUGCCUCAGCCUUUUUUUGUUGUUUUUAGACAACAUGAUUUGAAGUGUUUAAUAGGCUUGUCUGAUGACUGAGGUUUGCUACAGCUGUGCCAAGCAGCAAAUGUAAUAAAUUAUUAUUGUCACAGCCCCGUCAGUAAAAUGGUGAUUUUCAUACACAAGUAGUCUGUAGACCUAAAGAAAUAAUCUGGAGGAUACUCCUGCAGUGUAAAAGAACCAAGAGAGCACCAGUGGACUACUCUUGGCUUUCUUAUGCCUGACUACACCAUGAGGAAACCCUCGCACAACUGGCACACACACAACUGUUGCUGACCCCUAGCAUUUAACUGAGGGAGGUGUUUUCAUUUAACAACGCUGAUAAAAAGCACCACUGUGAAAUGACAAGUAAAAAAAGAAGUUGUGGAAAAUGUGCAAACAAAAGUUGGUCUCUACGGCACACAAAAUAAUUCACAGGUGCGUAAAGACAACUGUCUCUUGGGCACAUUAUUAUAAAUGUAAUAAAACACCAGUUUUACCUUCAA